UACAGAGGGGGCAAGCGUUGUUCGGAUUCAUUGGGCGUAAAGGGUGCGUAGGCGGCGCGGUAAGUCGGGUGUGAAAUCUUGGAGCUUAACUCCGAAACUGCAUUCGAUACUGCCGUGCUUGAGGACUGGAGAGGAGACUGGAAUUUACGGUGUAGCGGUGAAAUGCGUAGAUAUCGUAAGGAAGACCAGUGGCGAAGGCGGGUCUCUGGACAGUUCCUGACGCUGAGGCACGAAGGCCAGGGGAGCAAACGGG
RNAcentral lists this ribosomal RNA (253 nucleotides) under uncultured bacterium. RNAcentral's name for it is "partial 16S ribosomal RNA". It matches the Rfam family "Bacterial small subunit ribosomal RNA", at positions 524 to 776 of the family's 1533-position model. The record is from RNAcentral.